UUACUCAGAGCCAACAGGUACCUUAAGAAAGGGUUCACUCUUCCCAGUGCCAACGGUCUUGGUGUGCUGAAUCCCAAAGUCACGAUGGAGCAGGGGUACCUACUCAUUGCAACAGAUCUGAGCAUGGAGCCAGAAAGGCUGAGAGAAAGCAUCUUUGCCCCUGGCUCAUCGCAGUAACAGAUCCAGCAUGGCUCCCCUCUGGAAUAGAUGCCCUCGGAUUUUUGGGGUCCUCCUGGGCAGUGAUUGUAUGAGCUGCCGCGGGGUUGGAGUUGCGGCUGCGAGUUCUUC
RNAcentral lists this long non-coding RNA (288 nucleotides) under Pogona vitticeps (central bearded dragon). RNAcentral's name for it is "lncRNA (ENSPVIG00000003099.1)". Lineage: Eukaryota; Metazoa; Chordata; Lepidosauria; Squamata; Agamidae. The record is from RNAcentral.